AUCUUCGGCAAUGGACGAAAGUCUGACCGAGCGACGCCGCGUGUGGGAUGAAGGUCUUCGGAUUGUAAACCACUGUCGAGGGGGAUUAAGGGCAACUUGAAAGAACCCUGGAGGAAGGGGAGGCUAAGCUCGUGCCAGCAGCCGCGGUAAGACGAGCUCCCCAAACGUUAUUCGGUAUCACUGGGCUUAAAGAGUUCGUAGGCGGCGAAGUAGGUGAGGUGUGAAAGCCCUCGGCUCAACCGAGGAACUGCGCUUCAAACCGCUUUGCUAGAGGGAGAUAGGGGUAAGCGGAACAGAUGGUGGAGCGGUGAAAUGUGUUGAUAUCAUCUGGAACACCGGUGGCGAAAGCGGCUUACUGGGUCUUUUCUGACGCUGAGGAACGAAAGCUAGGGUAGCGAACGGGAUUAGAUACCCCGGUAGUCCUAGCCGUAAACGAUGAGCACUAGUCUGAGGGACUUUCACGGUUUCUCGGACGUAGCGAAAGUGUUAAGUGCUCCGCCUGGGGAGUAUGGUCGCAAGGCUGAAACUCAAAGGAA
This 536-nucleotide ribosomal RNA is filed under the name uncultured bacterium. RNAcentral's name for it is "bacterial SSU rRNA". It matches the Rfam family "Bacterial small subunit ribosomal RNA", at positions 361 to 909 of the family's 1533-position model. The record is from RNAcentral.